Papaver somniferum (opium poppy) is the source of this 959-nucleotide long non-coding RNA. RefSeq lists it as uncharacterized. The transcript has 3 exons. NCBI's taxonomy places the organism in Eukaryota, Viridiplantae, Streptophyta, Magnoliopsida, Ranunculales, Papaveraceae. The record is from RefSeq and is a predicted model, not a curated record.
CUCCAGGGUAAAGUCACCUAAAGGUUGCGGGUUCAAAUCCCGACCAUCUUUUUUUCCCCCUUUUUCGUUCUUCUUUCUUCAGGGUUGAAAUCGAGAGAGGAGAUCGAGAUGAAGAAAGAAAUUGAGCAGAGAAGUUUGGGUUUGUGUCGAAAUUGAAGAAUCAGAAUAUGGGUUUCGAAGUGAUGGGACUUUGAUGGAGUUGUAGAAAGGGGAUCUGAGCUGUUAUUGUUGAUGAAUUUGAAUCUGUUAUAGGAGAUAAAGCUGCUGUGAAGAACAUAGAUCGAGAUGUAGAAACUAUGUCUGUGUUUACGGAAAUUUGAGUUGUAUUUGGAGAUCGACAUGGUUGAUUGGACAGAGAAGACUGGAAGAGGAGAUGCAAUUCUGUGAACAGUUGAGAUGAACAAGAAUUGGAUCUGGGAAGCGGAAAUUGAUGAUACAGUGUGUUAAGGGCUUGAGGUGAAGAACAAUGGCUGCUGUCAGUUAGAAAUGGGUUUCGGGUGGUUUGUCAGGGAAAAAACUCUUUAAAGAUCUGAGUAAUGAAUUAGAAGAACGUAUUAUUGGAAUGCAUAAGGAACAGAUUGAGAAAUGGCAGGAUGAGAUGAAGGAACUGAGAUCACUGGAUGCGAUGAAUGAAGAAGCAAAUAAUGGUCUUCAUAUGACUCGCUCGCUAUUCCAGAUUGUUCAGAUGUGAUCCCCAUUGAUAAGAAUCAAAUGGUAGGGUGAUAUUAAGGAACUGAGAUCACUCGCUGUCUGCUUCAGAAGGGUCAGGUUUUGAUUCUUGAUAAGGCAGUAGUAGUAUUAGUAUCAACAAACAAAUAAUAAGAAUUUUAGUUUACACGUUUGAACAUUAUUUAGCUGUAAGUUGCUCAUUUGCAUCGAAUUAUUUGAAUUGUUUUUUAGGAGCAUGCAUCUAAUGUUGUAUAGUUUGUUGUUGUUCAUGAUAAUACUGCUUCCAGAUU